This 497-nucleotide ribosomal RNA is filed under the name uncultured bacterium. Its description in RNAcentral is "partial 16S ribosomal RNA". It matches the Rfam family "Bacterial small subunit ribosomal RNA", at positions 28 to 507 of the family's 1533-position model. The record is from RNAcentral.
GAUGAACGCUGGCGGCGUGCCUAAUACAUGCAAGUCGAGCGAACGGACGAGAAGCUUGCUUCUCUGAUGUUAGCGGCGGACGGGUGAGUAACACGUGGAUAACCUACCUAUAAGACUGGGAUAACUUCGGGAAACCGGAGCUAAUACCGGAUAAUAUUUUGAACCGCAUGGUUCAAAAGUGAAAGACGGUCUUGCUGUCACUUAUAGAUGGAUCCGCGCUGCAUUAGCUAGUUGGUAAGGUAACGGCUUACCAAGGCAACGAUGCAUAGCCGACCUGAGAGGGUGAUCGGCCACAAUGGAACUGAGAACCGGUCCAGACUCCUACGGGAGGCCGCAGGAGGGAAUCUUCCGCAAUGGGCGAAAGCCUGACGGAGCAAACCCGCGUGAGUGAUGAAGGUCUUCGGAUCGUAAAACUCUGUUAUUAGGGAAGAACAUAUGUGUAAGUAACUGUGCACAUCUUGACGGUACCUAAUCAGAAAGCCACGGCUAACUACGUG